Molecule: long non-coding RNA, 317 nt
Filed under: Mytilus galloprovincialis (Mediterranean mussel)
Lineage: Eukaryota; Metazoa; Mollusca; Bivalvia; Mytilida; Mytilidae
Source: RNAcentral
GCAAAUUCAGUCAAAAGUUAAUGCAUAUGUUACAUAUUAAAAUUUCAGUAAUGAUAAUCAUUAACAACCGGCAUUGAAUAAAUUAAUGCUAAUAAAUGACCACUUCAUCAACUGUGUCCCCCAUCAUAGAACAGCCGUGAACGUUAUUGAUGUCGCGUUUAGGACAUGUAUUAGCGCUAAAAGACGCGAGACAUUCUGGCGUUUAAAAGUGGACACGUUUGAGCGAAUAACAAUAGUAUUGGGCACGUUUGGAGGUUCUGAAAUCAGACAAGUUUGGGGAAUAUUGAAUAUUAUGGACACGUUUGGGGAGAAUAGAC